This 49-nucleotide small nucleolar RNA is filed under the name Pyrobaculum neutrophilum V24Sta. Its description in RNAcentral is "PNEsR56". The record is from RNAcentral. Lineage: Archaea; Thermoproteati; Thermoproteota; Thermoprotei; Thermoproteales; Thermoproteaceae.
GUGAAGUCGCUUCACCUCGCUGAGCGGUGACGACUCCUUUAAGAACGGA